Echinops telfairi (small Madagascar hedgehog) is the source of this 107-nucleotide small nuclear RNA. NCBI's taxonomy places the organism in Eukaryota, Metazoa, Chordata, Mammalia, Afrosoricida, Tenrecidae. The record is from RefSeq and is a predicted model, not a curated record.
GUGCUCGUUUUGGCCGCACGUACACAGAGACUGGACCCACACAGAGAAGAUUGGCAGGGCCUCUGGGCAAGGAUGACGUGCAGAUUCGUGCAGCGUUCCAUAUUUAA